GCAAGUCGAGGGGUAACAGGAAUUAGCUUGCUAAUUUGCUGACGACCGGCGCACGGGUGCGUAACGCGUAUACAAUCUACCUCUUACUGAGGGAUAGCCCAUGGAAACGUGGAUUAAUACCUCAUGGUAUAUUGAAUGGCAUCAUUUGAUAAUUAAAGGUUACGGUAAGAGAUGAGUAUGCGUCCUAUUAGUUAGUUGGUAAGGUAACGGCUUACCAAGGCAGCGAUAGGUAGGGGUCCUGAGAGGGAGAUC
RNAcentral lists this ribosomal RNA (252 nucleotides) under uncultured bacterium. RNAcentral describes it as "partial 16S ribosomal RNA". It matches the Rfam family "Bacterial small subunit ribosomal RNA", at positions 57 to 305 of the family's 1533-position model. The record is from RNAcentral.